UUAUUCUGUCAUACAAUAAAUAAGUAAAUGAUGCAUCGUACUUAACAAUAGAAAAUGCUUUAAAUAAAACUUCAUAAUUCAAAGACAUCAAAUUCUUCAUCAACAUAUGUUGAUAAAUAACAUAAAAAGUCAUGGUUCUUUAACGUCAUAAAAUAAAGACAUUCAACGUUUAACCCCAACCCAAGUGUUAUAGAUCAGAGCAUGCAUUUAUUCGACUACUCAAUGAUAAAGAUAAAUGGCUACGGAGGUAUAUUUCCGUUGCCACCUUCUAAGCGUCCCGCAAGGCUAAAUCUCCUCUUCCUGUGUAUCUGUAUCCCAGGAGUAUAGACACCAAACACACAAACAACAGCAAGGGGUGAGAAUUCACAUCAUAACAAAUAUUGGGAUACAUGAAUAAUAAAGCAGAUAAUCAUAUCUUCAUCGGUCCUUCAUCUCAUCAUCAUCAAUCAUUCAUCAUUCCAUCCUCAAUCAUUCAUCAUAAUAUUCACACAAUUCAUUUCAUAAACAUAAUUAACACAUACAUCUUAUGCACACCUUUAACACAUAUAUCAUAUUCACAUUAUUAGCACAUAUCACCGUUCACCUAACAUGACCUAUAUGCAACAUACUUCAUCCCUAGACCUACAUGCAUGCCGGUACCGGAUCCUAUCGUCAUAAUAAUGUAAGUCAGAGGUGUGUUAUUGAACUUACAUCCGUCAUUCGUCAUUCGUCAUUAUGCAGUAUGAUAUGAUGCAUGUGGACCCACCAAAACAUCAUUUAGAAGACACAUAAACAACACAUAAUCUUUACGUCAUAGUUACUCGUCAUAUUGCUUGUUAUUAGAAAACAAGUACGUCAUUCGUCAUACAUCAUUUUACAUCAUUCGUCUUUAAUAAUCAUAACAUCAUUUUACAUCAUCAUCUUACGUCAUUAGCAACUCAUCAUUAUUUUUACACCAUAUAUUCGUCUACUUAUGUCUAACUCUUAAUUUUGUCAUAUUCACGUCAUAUCUAAAUCUUACACCCACCAUUAGUUUAAUUUUCAUUCUUUGCAUUUUUUACUCUUAGUGACAUACUUCAUCCUUCAUCUUAUCCGUCCAUUUAACCCACCUAUCCUUCUCCUCGUUUAUAUGCACCUCAUCAACUCUUUAACAUUACCGCUUAUAUUAACUCUUAUUCCCUACAACCUAACAACCUUCCUAAGCUCAUUACUAUUUAAGGAUAUUAUGUUUAACCUCAUCAAUUACCUAUAACCAUCUACUCUAUUAUUCCCUCUUAUCAUCGUAUUUUCAUUUCUUUAACUCAUUCAUAUCUUGUACCUUACUUCAUACUUUGCCACGUCAUUAACGUCAUUUAUUACCUUAUUCAUUUACCAUCGUGUCUCUUUAAUUUACCCUAGUUCUUGCUCUUCAUGUAGUCUCAUAGUUGCAUCUAUCAUUUACUCUAAUUUACUACUAUUUUGAUCCUAAUUAGUUCUUGAAUUACCCUCUCACAACUCUCUCUACUUCGCUUCUAAGUCCCUCAUCGUUUCACUACCUAAUCUCUUUUGAUUUUUUGAGAUAAUCAAAUCCUAAUGACACUUAAGCAUACUCUCUCAACCUCAUUAUAAUCAUUAACAACUUCCAUUCCUACCCCAAGGACCAACUCAUGAACUCAUUAGACUCUUUAUACAAGGUUAUUUCCUUCCUAAAAAUAUCUCUAGAUGGUUAGGAUAAAGUCCCUACACUUAGGAAGAAGUUUGGAAGUAUUUGGAGUUAAGAAAAUUGCAUUUUUAUGGUUUCUUGUAUGACAUAAUCGUGGCACGUUGGUCUCCCAUCGUGGCACGAUUUUUCCAGAUUUGACAGACGACUUCUGAUUUUUAACAUUCACGUUUUCGCGCGUAAAAAUCAAACCGUUAACUCGUUUUCGAUGCCGUUUUCGCCUACACGCUCCUGACACUUAACUCUAUCAUAAUCUACAGAAAAAUUCAAGUUUCAACCACCCAAAAAAAAUCGAUUUUCCAAACCUCACAUAAUCUCUUAUUUGCAAAACGUUUAGACACCGACUUUUCAAACUAAAAUCCCAAUUUCCAUCGGCUCAAACCCCAAUACUGAUUGGAAACUUAAUCUGUGAUCAUUCUACAAUCGAAACAUUCUUUAUCACCCUAAUCCAUCAGAUCAUCUACUUCUUUCUACAAUUCAAUUCUACAUUCUAACCCUAACUUAAUCCCAUAAAUCUCAUUCGUUCAACAACAUCAUUGCCUUUAUUCAUCACCAUAAUUCCAUCAUAAAUCAUAUCAAAAGAAACACAUCAUACUAAAUAAAGUUACCCCCAUCAUAGAUUAAACACCCUAAAGUGGUAGGAAUCUCCCCCUUACCUCGAAUCUUUGAAGUCACAGCUUUCCGGCUCUCUUCUCCGAAACUAGGGUUUUCUCCUCCUCUUCUCUCUUCUUCUCUUGCUUCU
RNAcentral lists this long non-coding RNA (2420 nucleotides) under Medicago truncatula (barrel medic). Its description in RNAcentral is "long non-coding RNA (MTRU_LNC006264)". The record is from RNAcentral. Lineage: Eukaryota; Viridiplantae; Streptophyta; Magnoliopsida; Fabales; Fabaceae.